This 636-nucleotide ribosomal RNA is filed under the name uncultured bacterium. RNAcentral's name for it is "bacterial SSU rRNA". It matches the Rfam family "Bacterial small subunit ribosomal RNA", at positions 102 to 748 of the family's 1533-position model. The record is from RNAcentral.
ACGGGUGAGUAACGCGUAGGUAACCUGCCUGGUAGCGGGGGAUAACUAUUGGAAACGAUAGCUAAUACCGCAUAAGAGUAGAUGUUGCAUGACAUUUGCUUAAAAGGUGCAAUUGCAUCACUACCAGAUGGACCUGCGUUGUAUUAGCUAGUUGGUGGGGUAACGGCUCACCAAGGCGACGAUACAUAGCCGACCUGAGAGGGUGAUCGGCCACAUUGGGACUGAGACACGGCCCUUACUCCUACGGGAGGCAGCAGUGGGGAAUAUUGGACAAUGGACCGAGAGUCUGAUCCAGCAAUUCUGUGUGCACGAUGAAGUUUUUCGGAAUGUAAAGUGCUUUCAGUUGGGAAGAAAGAAAUGACGGUACCAACAGAAGAAGUGACGGCUAAAUACGUGCCAGCAGCCGCGGUAAUACGUAUGUCACGAGCGUUAUCCGGAUUUAUUGGGCGUAAAGCGCGUCUAGGUGGUUAUAUAAGUCUGAUGUGAAAAUGCAGGGCUCAACUCUGUAUUGCGUUGGAAACUGUAUAACUAGAGUACUGGAGAGGUAAGCGGAACUACAAGUGUAGAGGUGAAAUUCGUAGAUAUUUGUAGGAAUGCCGAUGGGGAAGCCAGCUUACUGGACAGAUACUGACGCUG